Molecule: long non-coding RNA, 611 nt
Organism: Cyprinus carpio carpio
Lineage: Eukaryota; Metazoa; Chordata; Actinopteri; Cypriniformes; Cyprinidae
Source: Ensembl
GUUAUUUUUAAAUGUGAUGAAUAAAAAAUGUUAUUGUGGCAACUUGUCACUAGAUAAAUGGAAGAUUCAUGCAAUCAGGGUUUUUGUUUUAUGUCAAUAUUUCUGCCUACCUUUUGUUUAUUAUUAUUCAUGUGGUAUUAUUUUCCUCUCCAGUAUUCUUUAAGGUAUUGGCUGGAGCAUGGUGUGUCAGGGUUAGGGAUCUGUGACACAGAAGCAGCCUUCUCUGCAAAGGAUCUGGAUCAGAUGAAUCAGCCUCUAGCCCUCUUCCAUUCUCUGAGUCAGUCGUGUGCUCGUGAAGAGGCUCUACACUUUGGCAGAUUCACCUUCCUUUCCUUCAACGCCAGCAUGUCAUGCUCUGGCCUCAAUUCUACAGCCACACCUCCUAUAGCUUUCCUGCGCUCAUGGGCCUGCGUUCACUUCCUGAACCUGUUUAAUUUGGGUUCUGAACCUCACACUCUGGAUCCAGACUGGGCUCCCAGCUUACCUGUAACCAGCACAGAUCUUGACCGAUUUGGCCCCAUGUCUCUAAGGUCAAUAAAAAUGCAGCCACACGAGGCCAUUGUAAUAAAACUGCUUGAAUCUGACAACUCUUAAGACAAGGUUUGUGUUCG